UACAGCCUGGAGUCUCUGUUUCCCUUUCAGGUCCCAGCUCUCUUGGCUUUCCCAUAAGCAGCUGCCCUGGGACUCUCCUGGAGACCUGAUGCCCGCAGCCGAGCUGACCACAGGAGCGGGUGCUGGGGACUGAGGGAGGCUUAGAGUUCAGAGAGGAGGUGUGAUUCUGAGGUCACACAGCAAGUUAGAGACCCAGCUCCACCACUCGUUGUCUUGGCUUUGGCCCUCGCCAUCCUGCCCACCCAGCGGGGCCUCCCAACCCACCACACGGCCAUGGAUGGGAAGGUGGCAGUGCACGAGCACGGGCCUCCUGCAGUCUCCUGGGUCCCCGAGGAGGGAGAGAAGUUGGACCAGGGAGACGAGGACCAGGCGAAGGAUCGGGGCCAAUGGACCAACAAGAUGGAGUUUGUGCUGUCCGUGGCUGGGGAGAUCAUUGGGCUGGGCAAUGUCUGGAGGUUUCCCUAUCUCUGCUACAAAAACGGAGGUGGUGAGUUCACUUUCAAGUAGGCAUGGUGGGGAGAGCUGUGCGCUGGCAGCUGGGCAGUGCCUACCUGGGCCCUCCUU
RNAcentral lists this small RNA (564 nucleotides) under Pongo abelii (Sumatran orangutan). Its description in RNAcentral is "retained intron". Lineage: Eukaryota; Metazoa; Chordata; Mammalia; Primates; Hominidae. The record is from RNAcentral.